RNAcentral lists this ribosomal RNA (465 nucleotides) under uncultured bacterium. RNAcentral's name for it is "partial 16S ribosomal RNA". It matches the Rfam family "Bacterial small subunit ribosomal RNA", at positions 338 to 795 of the family's 1533-position model. The record is from RNAcentral.
CCUACGGGAGGCAGCAGUGGGGAAUUUUGCGCAAUGCUCGUAAGAGUGACGCAGCGACGCCGCGUGAAUGACGAAGGCCUUCGGGUCGUAAAGUUCUUUCGACAGGGAAGAAAAUGCCUAUAAGUAACUGUGUAUGUAUUGACGGUACCUGUAUAAGCAGCCCCGGCUAAUUCCGUGCAAGCAGCCGCGGUAAUACGGAGGGGGCGAGCGUUGGUCGGAGUGACUGGGCGUAAAGAGCACGUAGGCGGUGUUGUAAGGCAUUAGUCAAAGACUAGAGCUCAACUUUAGUAAGGCUAGUGAUACUAUAAUCCUAGAGUAUCAGAGAGGAUUGCAGAAUUCCUGGUGUAGCGGUGAAAUGCGUAGAUAUCAGGAGGAAUACCGUUAGCGAAGGCGGCAAUCUGGCUGGAAACUGACGCUGAGGUGCGAAAGCGUGGGUAGCAAACAGAAUUAGAUACCCGAGUAGUC